UACGAAGGGGGCUAGCGUUGUUCGGAAUUACUGGGCGUAAAGGGCGCGUAGGCUGUGCUGUAAGUCAGGCGUGAAAGGCCCGGGCUCAACCUGGGAACUGCGUUUGAUACUGCGGCGCUGGAAUGCAGGAGAGGAUGGCGGAAUUCCCAGUGUAGAGGUGAAAUUCGUAGAUAUGGGGAGGAACACCAGUGGCGAAGGCGGCCACCUGGACGGAUACUGACGCUGAGACGCGAAAGCGUGGGUAGCAAACAGG
This 253-nucleotide ribosomal RNA is filed under the name uncultured bacterium. Its description in RNAcentral is "partial 16S ribosomal RNA". It matches the Rfam family "Bacterial small subunit ribosomal RNA", at positions 524 to 776 of the family's 1533-position model. The record is from RNAcentral.